CCUAAUUCACUAGACAAAACGAUCGGCCGCAACACACUCAAGAGAAAGAGAGACAACAGAUGCUCCUUCUCCUUCUCCAAGACCCAACGGGCAGAACUCCUUCCAAAACUCCAUCUCCGCCGUACACUGCCAAAGGAAGAAGAGAACGAGCCUCACCCACAUCCCUUAGAGAAAAGAACGGCAUCCCACCACCACAAAAAAAGACGCUGCCUUCUUCCAAAUAACCCCAAAACCCAUCAUACUUUUAACCCAACUUUGUUUUCCAAUAAUAAACUUAGCUCCAGUUUUUACAUCUUUCUUCUUUGAUAAUCAAAUUAGUCCAGAAAGAGGAAAGUGGUUGAUUGUUAAAUAUUCAAUCAAAUAUAAGCAAAGGUAUACAUAAAUAAAUAAAGGGAAGGGAAGGACGAACGAGAGGGCAACGACUAAAGAAACAUAAUCUCCAAAACUAGAGCAGCCACCCAUUCUUCAAAAAACGCAGCAAAAACUUUAUGCUCUGUUUGUUGAUCACUAGUUUAGUUUGAGUAUUCCGGCAAGCUUCGAGUCGUUGAAGGUCGUGGUCCGAGGUGUUUGUUCAGUCGCAAUUUUCCGUUGAGUGAAGCCCAUUCCGAUUCAUGUCCCGCUUUUAUUUGGUACUUCGAACUGUUUCUUUGCUUUCAAUAGGUGUGGAUCUGCUUACCAGAGCUUGAGCAUGACAAACACCCUAGGAACAUCCAGUCAGGAUCACUGCAUUCAGGAGCUAGCUUAAGGAGACUUUUUAUAUUAUGAGUUUGUUUUUUGUGUUGUUUUGUUCUUUAAAGUCAUGUCCAAUAGUACCGAUUCUUUUAGUUGGUGUCAUAAUUUGUUGCAGUAUAGUUGAAUUUGUCGAGUCUCUCAUUAUCGUACUUCCUAUGAUGUAUUUGAAAACCAAAAAAUUUAUAAAUGAAAACCCAAAAGAUUUUGUUUUUAGUUUAUUA
Molecule: long non-coding RNA, 953 nt
Organism: Nicotiana tabacum (common tobacco)
Lineage: Eukaryota; Viridiplantae; Streptophyta; Magnoliopsida; Solanales; Solanaceae
Source: RefSeq, a predicted model, not a curated record